RNAcentral lists this long non-coding RNA (630 nucleotides) under Equus asinus (donkey). RNAcentral describes it as "lncRNA (ENSEASG00005025069.1)". Lineage: Eukaryota; Metazoa; Chordata; Mammalia; Perissodactyla; Equidae. The record is from RNAcentral.
GGAAAUCUCCCUAACCAAGGUCUCGUAACUAGCAUUCCUGUGGUGAGAAGAGAUUGUUUAAAUACGAUUUUAUUGUUAAGAUGAUUGAUCUGAUUGGCUUCAUUCUCAGCAAGCUCUCUUCACAUGGAGGGAAAGAAGCUCCUGGCAGCCACACGUUCGUGUGGUGGUUACAGUUCAUGAUCUCCGGAGGAGAAAGACUUCCAACAUUCCCACCCCUCUCUGGACAGCGACUCUGCUUGGCUCCAUUUGGGUCACGUGCCCACCUCUGGACCCAUCACUGUCACCUGGAAACAGGAAUAACUUCCGCCAUUCUCUUGGCCAAUAAUAGCCAAGAUGAAUCAAGAUAUGAUGAAACAGCAAAGCAGCAAGCCAAUGAUAAGACAUAAAUCACGGUGUUUUCCUGUCCAGGAAUAAUGUCUCAUUGUGCUGGAACUAUCAAUAGCAAAUUCCAUCAAAUGCCAAAUAAACAGCCAGGGAAACAGCAUGAAGCAACCACGGCAAGAUGAGGAAACCGAGGCAAAAAGAGAUUAAGUAUCUUGCCCAAGGUCACAUAGCAGCAGAGUGAGAAGUCAAUCCCAGGUGGCCUGGCUCUGAUGUCACUCAUGAUCUUUACUAUGUUAUACUGCAAAC